RNAcentral lists this ribosomal RNA (491 nucleotides) under uncultured bacterium. RNAcentral describes it as "partial 16S ribosomal RNA". It matches the Rfam family "Bacterial small subunit ribosomal RNA", at positions 29 to 507 of the family's 1533-position model. The record is from RNAcentral.
GUGAACGCUGGCGGUAGGCCUAACACAUGCAAGUCGAACGGCAGCACAGUAAGAGCUUGCUCUUACGGGUGGCGAGUGGCGGACGGGUGAGGAAUACAUCGGAAUCUACUUUUUCGUGGGGGAUAACGUAGGGAAACUUACGCUAAUACCGCAUACGACCUACGGGUGAAAGCAGUGGCUCUUCGGACCUUGCGCGAUUGACUGAGCCGAUGUCGGAUUAGCUAGUUGGCGGGGUAAAGGCACACCAAGGCGACGAUCCGUAGCUGGUCUGAGAGGAUGAGCAUCCACACUGGAAUUGUGACACGGUCCAGACUCCUACGGGAGGCAGCAGUGGGGAAUAUUGGACACUGGGCGCAAGCCUGAUCCAGCCAUACCGCGUGGGUGAAGAAGGCCUUCGGGUUGUAAAGCCCUUUUGUUGGGAAAGAAAAGCAGCAGGUUAAUACCCCGCUGUCCUGACGGUACCCAAAGAAUAAGCACCGGCUAACUUCGUG